GAUGAGAACGCAGUGAAAUGCGAUAACUAGUGUGAAUUGCAGAAUUCCGUGAAUCAUCGAGUCUUUGAACGCACAUUGCGCCCCCUGGUAUUCCGGGGGGCAUGCCUGUCCGAGCGUCAUUGCUGCCCAUCAAGCACGGCUUGUGUGUUGGGUCGUCGUCCCCUCUCCGGGGGGGACGGGCCCCAAAGGCAGCGGCGGCACCGCGUCCGAUCCUCGAGCGUAUGGGGCUUUGUCACCCGCUCUGUAGGCCCGGCCGGCGCUUGCCGAACGCAAAUCAAUCUUUUUCCAGGUUGACCUCGGAUCAGGUAGGGAUACCCGCUGAACUUAAGCAUAUCAAUAAGCGGAGGA
RNAcentral lists this unclassified non-coding RNA (348 nucleotides) under soil metagenome. Its description in RNAcentral is "partial contains 5.8S ribosomal RNA, internal transcribed spacer 2, and large subunit ribosomal RNA". The stretch from base 5 to 119 matches the Rfam family "5.8S ribosomal RNA", at positions 40 to 154 of the family's 154-position model. The record is from RNAcentral.